ACGAAGGGGGCUAGCGUUGCUCGGAAUCACUGGGCGUAAAGCGCACGUAGGCGGCUUUCUAAGUCAGGGGUGAAAUCCUGGAGCUCAACCCCAGAACUGCCUUUGAUACUGGAGAGCUUGAGUCCGGGAGAGGUGAGUGGAACUCCGAGUGUAGAGGUGAAAUUCGUAGAUAUUCGGAAGAACACCAGUGGCGAAGGCGAGUCCCUGGACAACUUCUGACGCUGAGGCACGAAAGCUAGGGGAGCAAACAGGA
Molecule: ribosomal RNA, 253 nt
Filed under: uncultured prokaryote
Description: partial 16S ribosomal RNA
Rfam family: Bacterial small subunit ribosomal RNA
Source: RNAcentral